ACUCCUACGGGAGGCAGCAGUGAGGAAUUUUGCGCAAUGGGGGAAACCCUGACGCAGCAACGCCGCGUGAGUGAUGAAGGCCUUCGGGUCGUAAAGCUCUGUCAAGUGGGAAGAACUUGGAAAAUGUUAACACCAUUUUUCACUGACGGUACCACUGAAGGAAGCACCGGCUAACUCCGUGCCAGCAGCCGCGGUAAU
Molecule: ribosomal RNA, 198 nt
Filed under: uncultured bacterium
Lineage: Bacteria
Description: partial 16S ribosomal RNA
Rfam family: Bacterial small subunit ribosomal RNA
Source: RNAcentral